GGUGGUGUAGCUCAGUGGUAGAGUGCUUGCCUGGCAUGCAUGAGGUCUUGGGUUCCAUCCCCAGCACCACAA
This 72-nucleotide transfer RNA is filed under the name Heterocephalus glaber (naked mole-rat). It matches the Rfam family "tRNA". Rfam says of the family: Transfer RNA (tRNA) molecules are approximately 80 nucleotides in length. Their secondary structure includes four short double-helical elements and three loops (D, anti-codon, and T loops). Further hydrogen bonds mediate the characteristic L-shaped molecular structure. tRNAs have two regions of fundamental functional importance: the anti-codon, which is responsible for specific mRNA codon recognition, and the 3' end, to which the tRNAs corresponding amino acid is attached (by aminoacyl-tRNA synthetases). tRNAs cope with the degeneracy of the genetic code in two manners: having more than one tRNA (with a specific anti-codon) for a particular amino acid; and 'wobble' base-pairing, i.e. permitting non-standard base-pairing at the 3rd anti-codon position. Lineage: Eukaryota; Metazoa; Chordata; Mammalia; Rodentia; Bathyergidae. The record is from Rfam by way of RNAcentral.